Aethalodelphis obliquidens (Pacific white-sided dolphin) is the source of this 5400-nucleotide long non-coding RNA. RefSeq lists it as uncharacterized. The record is from RefSeq and is a predicted model, not a curated record. Lineage: Eukaryota; Metazoa; Chordata; Mammalia; Artiodactyla; Delphinidae. The transcript has 4 exons.
GAGCCAUGGCCGCUGAGCUUGCGCGUCCUGCUCCGCAGCGGGAGAGGCUGCAGCAGUGAGGCCCGUGUAUUGCAAAAAAAAAAAAAAAAAAAAAAGGUAAGAUCGUCAAUAACGAAGGAAAACGUGGGAACCCACUGCUCAUUCCAGAAACACAUAUGCAGCCCCGGUGUCUAAUCCAGCGGCAAGCACUGUAGGGAUGUGGAUGAAUCAGUUCCCGACUUCGCAGUCUGCGUCUUAGAGAAGGGGCGGGGAGAGAGAGAAGAGAUGAACUAACGUUUACUGAGCGACGUGCAAGACCCCGCACAGAUGUCCUCUUUUAAUCGUGACAACAGUACUGCAAUAUACCUGGUGUUACCUCUAUUUUAUAUGGAGGAGACUGGGUCUCAGAGUGGUUGAGUAACAUCCCCAGGGUCUCGGGGCCAGAGUGAGUAGAAGCAGUGAUUUCAACUCAGGUCCGUCUUUCCAGCCCAUGCUCUGUUUGUCCCCUGCAUGGGCCACUCACAGGCAGAAGGAAAAAAAGCACGAGGGCAGUGAAUGAUUAUGGGAGUUCGUGGUCAUGUGUCUUUGUGGGCGAGGAAGUCAUUACAAAAAGAGUACUCGGAAAACUAAAGGUGAAAAUGAUAAUGUAUCAAAAUGGAGAUCAAACAUUCUCCUCGAGAUGGUGAAAUAGACUGAAAAAAGUGGGAAAACAUUCGUGCUUGAUUAGAACAUCUCAGACUCUGCUGGAUUUCUAUUUCUCCACAGCUCGCCUCUUCCAAUGUGCUCCAUCUAAUAUCAAUAGCUCUUCAGAUGCGAGGAUACAGAAUUACAUGGAAAUUCCCCGUGCAGUACAGCUACGUUUUAGAUUUUUACGGCGAAGAUUCUUUCCCGCGGUCCUUUUUACAGGCAUGACUUUUAGGAGAAUACCAAUCAUGAAAUAGAAGCUACAUUUUAAAAUGAAAAUGCAUCUGAUACCUCCUGUGGAAUCUCAUCCUAGGGUGACGUGGCACUCUAAAACAGGCGUCAAAACACACAAAAUACAUAAAAAUUCAUCUACCCCCAGUUUGCUUGUCUUUCGCCUUCUGCUUCCAUUAUUAAUCUGAGAAAACCGUGUGUGUGUGUCUGCCUGAGUUUGUGUGUUGAAUUCUUCGCUAUCUGAGAAAAAGUUAUUAUCCUUGAGAGUAUUUUAAGUUUGAUAUUGUAGAACAGUGGUCCCCAGCCUUUUUGGCACCAGGGACUGGUUUUGUGGAAGACAGUUUCUCCGCGGACCGGGGGGAGGUUUGUGUGGGGUGGGUAGUUCAGGCGGUAACGCGAGCGAUAGGGAGCAAUGGGGAGCGGCAGAUGAAGCUUCGCUCACUCGCUGGCCGCUCGCCUCUUGCUGUGCAGCCCGGUUCCUAACAGGCUGUGGACCGGUACCGGUCUGUGGCCCAGGGGUUGGGGACCCCUAUUGUAGAAGAUGUACCAGUUAUAUGGAAAAAAAAAAGGCACUAGUUCCCGGAGGUUGGAGCUGGUGUCAGCUGGGCUUAGGCUCCUACGUGAAGUUUUGACCCCUUGGACACUUGAGCAGCUGAUGAUUCCGGGCUCCGCCAUCUGAGAGUCGUUUCCAUCGGGCAAACCCAAGAUCCUGUUCUGACACAGGGGCUGGCCUGUUUUUAUAAGUAGAGUUUUCCUGGGACACGGCCUCACUCAUUUGUUGACAUACUGUCCCUGGCCGCUCUUAUGCUACAGUGGAGAUCGUGACUCUGUGGUCCGGAAAGUAAAAAAAUGUUUACUGCCUGACCUUCAAGAAAAAGUUUCCUGGCCCCGGUUGGGAGCAUCCAGCCUUCAUCUAUAUUUACCUGGACGCAAUCCUAAAAUACGUUGUAUUGCACUAGAGCUUUGCAAAACCAAUAUUGCAUUAAUGACACUUUAGUCAUAUUUUGAAAUAAGUCAAAGUCCUUUGAAUAUAGAAGACUAAGAAUGGAGUAGUCAUACUCUCUGGACUUUCUAUUGCCCCGAAUUUGCAUCCAUUGGCUUCCAAAUUGCAUUUUCUUUCACAGAAACUCAAUUGGUCUCAGUUUUUAAAUCUGAAAUCUUCAAAGAGGAUGAGGUACGCACAAAAAGGUGAUACCUGGCAACGUGGAAUGGGAUCAAAAUUUAGUCUGUGGUUUUUAAAUUAAUACUCUGUGGACUGUUCAUGUUUCUUUCCUUCUUGUUUCAUUGUGUAGCCUUCAGGUGUGCGUCAUUCACUGUAACUCAUCAUAUUACGUUUCAGUUUGCCAAUUUCCUGACGUUAACACUGCCAUCACCAUUAUUUGCAAGCUGUGACAAAUAACAACCCUGUUGUGAAAAUGGUUGAGAAUUUCGAUGAGCUCAAGUGUUGACUUCUUGGCACUAGAAUAACAGCUGUUUCCUAGGGUAAUGUAAAAGAAAAGGAACACCACCAAUUCCUUUAGAUUUCUAGGUAAUAGAAGCCCACAGAAAAUCAACAGAUUUGUUGUAUAUGAACAGAGGAAACUUUGGCAAAAUCAUUUUUAAAUUCCCCAUGUCUUUAAGUUUUCUUAAAGCCAUUUCAUGAUACAGUUGCUCAAAAGACAUUUUACAAAGCUGGAUAAGUUUUUUUGUCUAGCGAUAUCAGUAUUAAUAUGAUAGGAACAGCAUAGAGAGGUCUGGAGUCUGUUUUAAGAUGAAAAUUCAUAUGCCAGCAGGAAAGAAGCCACCAACAAUCUGGAGAAUUUAAUGAGAACAACCUCCCAGUUUUAAUUACAGCAUUACAAAUGUGCAGAUACAAUAAUUGCAUUACCUUGAUGUAUAUUUCCACAAGGACUCCAUAAAAUAAAUUCAAAGGCCAGCAGAAGGCUCUCACUAAUAGUAUCAUUUCUCCCUGGGAACAAUACAGUUGCUGCAUAUAUUUUUGUAAAAAACAGGUGAAUGACACCAUCCCAAGCCACAAUAUAACAUUAAAAUAUUUUCUUCAUGUCUUGUUUAAAAGACUUUUCCUUAUGGUUUUUCGUCAAAGGGUUAGAGAAAAGUAAAUCUACCAAGAUACUAGAUUAGCUUGUUUAAUUUCAGUAUCUCCAGCCUUCUCUAGAUGGCAGUCAAGGCACGGGGUUUUUUAGGCCGCUCUUGUGGAAAGCGAGAGGAAGAACACAGCAGGGUUUUUUGUUUCUCACAGUCCUCAAAUAACGGUGAUGAGCGUGUUAAAGUCAGGAAAUUGACAUGACUGACGUAUGAGAGUAGGAAGACAGCAAAAGAUGCUCGUCUUACGGCUGCGCACUGAAACAAGAAAGAAAGAUGCUCAAGGGGAAUAAGACCCCUGGACUCAUUUGAUCCAGUUAUCACACAUUUUUGUGUGUGCAUAGCAUCCUCUUUGAAGAUCUCAGAUUUAAAAACUGAGGCCAGCUGAGCUUCUGUGGGAGAGAAUGAACAUCUGGAAGCCCGUGAAUGCAAAUUUAGAGCAAGAGAAAAAUCCAGAAAGCAUGAGUAUUCCAUACCUCGUCUCCAACAUCCAAAGAACUUGAACUUAUUAUAAAAUUUGAUUAAAGCCAAGUGUCAUUAAUGCAACAUUGGUUUUGGAAAGCUCUAGUGAAAGACGACAUAGUUUUUGCAUUGAGUCCGGGUGAACUUAGAUGAAGUCUGUACUUGGUGCUCGUUAACAGCGAAAGUAAUCAGUGUUUUAGGACGAGAAUCUUUAACUUGCGCAUUUUAAAUGACUGUUUGAUUGUGUUCCCGAGGAAAAUUGAUCGUGUGACAUGCAUUCAACAUGCAACAAAUAUUUUUUGACUGUUUAUUCUGCAUCAAACACUCUGCUUAGUGCCAGGUAUUCAGAUGCGCGUGAGCCCCUAUCCCAAUGGCCCCGUGAAUCUGUCCACCCUACUAGGACAGAUAAAGCCGGAGUGAAAUGGGGACCCUUGUUUUUUGUCUCAUGCUUCCAGUAUAGGAUGGAGAAGAGUUAAGAAGACACAGAUUUUCCAUCAAGGUCUUUCUCCAGGACUGGGAUUUAAUAAAAUAAUAAUGAAAAUAUCAACAAAACCACAUUCAUUUAUUGUAUAUCUAAAUAGCCUACUUGUUUUAAAUACUUUAUCUAUGUGCAUUACCUGAACCCAGCAAGGUGGGUAUUAGUACCUUUAUUUAUAGAUAAUGAAACUUAGAGAAGGAAGAUGUCUUUCCCAGGGGCCACAGCAGAGCCCGAUUCCAGCUGGAGUUCCUGUGUCUCCAAGGCUUAGGCUCUUCCCACCGCACCCAGCUGCCCACAUUCUGAGCUGCCCUGUGUGUGCAUUUCUUCCAUCUGAGUUGGACUCUUCCACACAGAGGUUCAGGGGACAGUGUACAUGGCCUUUCCCGGGUCCAUCUGUAUUGGGAAGAGUCUGGGGAACUCGGUGCUGAUCCUUCAGGGCUUACUGUCUGAUGAUAUGCUGUCGGGAACGGUAAGGGAGAUGUUUCAGCAUCAAGAAUAUUUUUCUUAUCCCUUAACAGGCGCUAUGGUGACUCCUCUUCCUCUGGUCCUGAUGCAGCAUGAAACGUGGCACAAAGGAACGAGGAAACGUGGCCUUUUGUGCUCGGUGUCUGAAAGAGUGGAAUUAUGCGUCUACGGAAGCUCUAUGUUUAACAGGCGGAGAAACUGUCCAACUGUUUUCCAAAGUGGCCGUGCCAUUUUACAAAUCUGCCCGCAAUGUAUGAAGGCUCCAAUAUCUCCCAAUCCUUGUGGAAUUGCAGAAAGGGAGGAAUUUCUGAAGAACCUGGCAAAAGAAAGAAUGACAUGUAAAAACCUGCCAGAUCCAGAGAGCAUGAAGCAAACAUUCAACAAUACCAGUCAGUUUUGGUGGAAUCACUUACCCUGAAGACUUGUCUACAGUAAAGCUGCUUGAUGAAUGGAGCUGGAGAAAUAGCGUGACAGUCAUUCCCUUGAUGUCAGAGCCACUGGUCUGCUCACUGAAUCCGCAUCUCCUUAGCCUCCCCUACCCUUAACCUUCUCCUCUGUCCCCUAGAGGUCUGCCUUUGGAAGGAUCUUAGUUGUAGUUCAGAGGUUAUAAUUUCACAAGGUUCAUUUCUCUCAAGGUAGCAAUAAACCUGUGAAGUAUGACUGGGUCAAUAUUUCUCCAAAUGAGUUCUUCUGUCCAUAAUUUAUACCCAGCAGCAGAUUCUGUGUGACUGGAAAGACAGGAAGGAAAUAAUCUCCUGGGACAGUAUUUUAAUAGCCAGAUGUCAUUGCCACUAACGAACUUUUAGGCUGGACACAAGGAUAACCUUGACAACUGACUUCCUACUCCUGCCUGAACUGUCCACCUGGAUUUUGUUUUUUAUCAGCCAUCGUCAGUACAAAGGUUGUUUCUCAAUUUCGUUCUGUAAACAUACAGCCGCUGUGUCCCACAGGAACUGAAAGUAGGUGUCCCCAGCUUGGAACUUUUUUCGGAAACAAUAAAAAGCUCCUUCAGCUUUGUC